RNAcentral lists this ribosomal RNA (497 nucleotides) under uncultured bacterium. RNAcentral's name for it is "partial 16S ribosomal RNA". It matches the Rfam family "Bacterial small subunit ribosomal RNA", at positions 28 to 507 of the family's 1533-position model. The record is from RNAcentral.
GAUGAACGCUGGCGGCGUGCCCAAUACAUGCAAGUCGAGCGAACAGACGAGGAGCUUGCUCCUCUGACGUUAGCGGCGGACGGGUGAGUAACACGUGGAUAACCUACCUAUAAGACUGGGAUAACUUCGGGAAACCGGAGCUAAUACCGGAUAAUAUAUUGAACCGCAUGGUUCAAUUGUGAAAGACGGUUUUGCUGUCACUUAUAGAUGGAUCCGCGCCGCAUUAGCUAGUUGGUAAGGUAACGGCUUACCAAGGCAACGAUGCGUAGCCGACCUGAGAGGGUGAUCGGCCACACUGGAACUGAGACUCGGUCCAGACUCCUACGGGAGGCAGCAGUAGGGAAUCUUCCGCAAUGGGCGAAAGCCUGACGGAGCAACGCCGCGUGAGUGAUGAAGGUCUUCGGAUCGUAAAACUCUGUUAUUAGGGAAGAACAAAUGUGUAAGUAACUAUGCACGUCUUGACGGUACCUAAUCAGAAAGCCACGGCUAACUACGUG